GACGAACGCUGGCGGCGCGCUUAACACAUGCAAGUCGAGCGAGAACCAGGGCUUCGGCCCUGGGGACAGCGGCGAACGGGUGAGUAACACGUGGGUAAUCCACCCUCGGCACCGGAAUAGCCCGGGGAAACCCGGAUUAAUGCCGGAUGGCCCGCCGGCCCUGCGGGGCUGGCGGAAAAGGUAGCUUCGGCCUCCGGCCGAGGACGAGCCCGCGACGGAUUAGCUUGUUGGUGGGGUAACGGCCUACCAAGGCUGCGAUCCGUAGCUGGUCUGAGAGGACGAUCAGCCACGCUGGGACUGAGACACGGCCCAGACUCCUACGGGAGGCAGCAGUGGGGAAUCUUGGACAAUGGGCGAAAGCCUGAUCCAGCAAUGCCGCGUGUGUGAAGAAGGCCUUCGGGUUGUAAAGCACUUUAAGCAGGGAAGAAAAAGCACGGCCUAACACGUCGAGCCUUGACGGUACCUGCAGAAUAAGCACCGGCUAACUCUGUGCCAGCCGCCGCCGUAA
RNAcentral lists this ribosomal RNA (508 nucleotides) under uncultured bacterium. RNAcentral's name for it is "partial 16S ribosomal RNA". It matches the Rfam family "Bacterial small subunit ribosomal RNA", at positions 28 to 523 of the family's 1533-position model. The record is from RNAcentral.